This 253-nucleotide ribosomal RNA is filed under the name uncultured bacterium. Its description in RNAcentral is "partial 16S ribosomal RNA". It matches the Rfam family "Bacterial small subunit ribosomal RNA", at positions 524 to 776 of the family's 1533-position model. The record is from RNAcentral.
UACGUAGGGUGCGAGCGUUAAUCGGAAUUACUGGGCGUAAAGCGUGCGCAGGCGGUUCGUUGUGUCGGCGGUGAAAGCCCCGGGCUUAACCUGGGAAUGGCCGUUGAAACUGGCGAACUGGAGUGUGGCAGAGGGGGGUGGAAUUCCACGUGUAGCAGUGAAAUGCGUAGAGAUGUGGAGGAACACCGAUGGCGAAGGCAGCCCCCUGGGCCAAUACUGACGCUCAUGCACGAAAGCGUGGGGAGCAAACAGG